This 107-nucleotide small nuclear RNA is filed under the name Bos indicus x Bos taurus (hybrid cattle). Lineage: Eukaryota; Metazoa; Chordata; Mammalia; Artiodactyla; Bovidae. The record is from RNAcentral.
GUGCUUGCUUCGGCAGCACAUAUACUAAAAUUGGAAUGAUACAGAGAAGAUUAGCAUGGCCCCUGCACGAGGAUGACACACAAAUUUGUGAAGCGUUCCAUAUUUUU